RNAcentral lists this transfer RNA (57 nucleotides) under Pista cristata. Its description in RNAcentral is "tRNA-Ile". Lineage: Eukaryota; Metazoa; Annelida; Polychaeta; Terebellida; Terebellidae. The record is from RNAcentral.
GCCGGAUUUGAACGGAUAGCUCUGAUGCUGCUAAUUAUGGGGUGAACACCUCCGAUA